UGGGUUGUGGCUCAGUGGUCGAGCGCUUGCCUAGCAUGUGUGGGGGUCUGGGUUCAAUCCUCAGCACCACAU
Non-coding RNA from Ictidomys tridecemlineatus (thirteen-lined ground squirrel), 72 nucleotides. Lineage: Eukaryota; Metazoa; Chordata; Mammalia; Rodentia; Sciuridae. The record is from Rfam.